CCCUUAGAUGUCCUGGGCCGCACGCGCGCUACACUGAUGCAUGCAACGAGUUUAUAACCUUGGCCUGAAAGGUCUGGGUAAUCUUUUGAACGUGCAUCGUGAUAGGGAUAGAUUAUUGCAAUUGUUAAUCUUGAACGAGGAAUUCCUAGUAAACGCGAGUCAUCAGCUCGCAUUGAUUACGUCCCUGCCCUUUGUACACACCGCCCGUCGCACCUACCGAUUGAAUGGUUCGGUGAAGAUCUCGGACUUCGAUAUUUAUUCUUUAUUGAGUUUAUAUUGUGGGAAGUUAUCUAAACCUCAUCAUUUAGAGGAAGGUGAAGUUGUAACA
This 328-nucleotide ribosomal RNA is filed under the name uncultured eukaryote. Its description in RNAcentral is "partial 18S ribosomal RNA". It matches the Rfam family "Eukaryotic small subunit ribosomal RNA", at positions 1470 to 1796 of the family's 1831-position model. The record is from RNAcentral.